AAGUGAGAAGCAAAAUUUGCAAUCAGUUUCGACCUGAUCUUAGAUAAAAUUUAUCCUUACUUU
This 63-nucleotide transfer RNA is filed under the name Inquilinitermes inquilinus. RNAcentral describes it as "tRNA-Arg". The record is from RNAcentral. Lineage: Eukaryota; Metazoa; Arthropoda; Insecta; Blattodea; Termitidae.